RNAcentral lists this long non-coding RNA (417 nucleotides) under Homo sapiens (human). RNAcentral describes it as "HSALNT0036312". Lineage: Eukaryota; Metazoa; Chordata; Mammalia; Primates; Hominidae. The record is from RNAcentral.
CUUGCAUUUCAAAAGCAAGUGACUAUUAUGCUCUGAUCACAUGUGAACUUCAUACCGAAUCUUUGCCUAUGAUGAAGCUUCUGUUCAACAAAUAUUUGUUGAUUAAAAAUGUGAACACUUCUUAGAUCAACUCCAGAAUCCCUCCCGGGUGGCGUGUAAUCAAAGCCUAAAACCUGUUAAAUAAACCAUCACCUAAAGCAUAAGGCAGUUCGUGAAUGUGUCCACUCCUUUCCCCUGCAACUGCGUGUGGAGACAGUGGGCAUAAAGACCUCGUAUGCUAGCAAUUUCAACCGAGCAGGACCUUCUCUCCCUCCUCUUUCAUUUUCCUGGCGCGUAAACUGCUGGAUUUGCCUCACAGUGGAAAGUUGGGUCCAGCAAAACAGGGCUGGUCCAUUUAGGGAGACCGCGCACGGAGGG